GUAGCUCAGUGGUAGAACAUCUGCCUUGAAUGCAGAGGAUCCCAGGUUUAAUCCCUGGUAUCGCCA
Molecule: non-coding RNA, 66 nt
Organism: Podarcis lilfordi (Lilford's wall lizard)
Lineage: Eukaryota; Metazoa; Chordata; Lepidosauria; Squamata; Lacertidae
Source: the annotation of a GenBank genome assembly